UUCUUCAACAACUGCAGCCACCUCGGUAGCUCGCUAGCCAACAGUCGGAACAUUCAAGUUCUUUAGACAAUUUCGUGCUUUAUUUGCCACUGAUUUAAACAUACGUAUGUGGAAACAACUAGCUACCCCGGGAAACAGAUAAAUGUUUUGAGCAAAAUAGUGUUCUUUACAACCGCAAACUUGGAGCGAGUGAUGUCAUAGUAAGGCAUUCAAGGAUGGGAAGUCGUGAUGUCAUCCAAUAGGCGACAGAUCUUCAUGAGAGAGACGGGACUAUCGUGGAUCCUAAACAACAUCAUGAUGCUGACGAGGCAGAGAAGAGUCUCUCCAGAUCAGAACUUCUCAAGAAACACCAGCGGAGACCCACAGGGAAGAAACCUCACUGCUGCCCUGUGGGAUAUGUUUCAUAAGAUCAAAUUCACUAAAAGUACACCUGAGAAUUCACACUGGAGGGAAAUCUCACUGCUGCCCUGACUGUGGGAAAAAAUUCAAUUCUUCAGUAGACUAUAAAAUAAUUCACACUGGAGAGAAACCUUUUGGCUAUGAUCACUGUGGGAAGAGUUUUAUUCGGCGACAAACCCUAAAAACACAGCAGAGAAUACACACUGGAGAGAAACAUUAUAUCUGUAAUCAAUGAAGGAAGAGUUUUUCUCGGCCAGACAGCCUGAAUAUACACAAGCGGACACACACAGGAAAGAAAUUGUAUAGCUGUAGUCAAUGUGGGAAGGGCUUUACUCCAUCUAGCCAGCUGACGUUACACCAGAGAACACACACUGGAGAGAAAUGUUAUAGCUGUGAUCAAUGUGGGAAGGGUUUUACUCUAAUUAACAGCCUGGUGUCACACCACAGAACACACAGGAGAUAAAUCUCAUAGCUGUAUGUUCAAUGUGGGAAGAGAGACACUGGUAAAAGAUCUCUGAUCAAACAUCAGAAAAUGCAUGGAGUUGUUUCAUGACAUCAAUGAAAUAAUGUCACAAUGUAGAGUAUUUUAAUGAUGUCACAAUGUAGAGUAUUUUAAUGAUGUCACAAUGUAGAAGCCUAAACGUUUGCCCCCCUGUUCUGUUGAUUUCAGCUAUGGAUUUUAGCCUCAGAGGAAACAUCCAGGCUCUGAAUUGAAAGAGUACUAUUUAUGAGAUUUAACAAAAAGUGACGAACAAAAAAAAGAGUUGUGUUACACCUACCACGUUGGUGACACACUUGAAUCAAAAUGCAACACUUCACAAUGUAGCUAGCUGUUUUCUACAAAUUGUCCUCUAACCAGGGAUGUACACAUUUUUCCCAGAUUCCGUGUGGUUUUUGAGCUGUUAGUUUUAAACAGGACAUGCAACCUCAUCUCCCUCCUCUCGCACAAAUGAUUUUAGCAUUAUAUUGAUGAGUUAUGACAAAUUAGUGUUGGGUUCCUUUGUUUAGUGACCCCUACAUUUAAAUGCAUCACUCCAAAAUGUAGCUGACUGUCUUCUGCAGGUUGUCCUCUAAUCAGUGAGGUAAAAGAUAUCUCCCAUUUCCAUGUAUUUUUAGUUUCAACAACACGUACAACCUGAUUUCUCCCCUAAUCGAUAUCAGUGAUUUAUUGCUACUUGUCAAAACAACAGCAUUUAUGGUGCUUGUAUAGUUUAUCAGGUGCUUGUUUAAAAAAAAAAAAAUACAAGUAAUAUGAUUAUUGUGGCAGAUGUUUGUGUAGAUAGCACAUGUUAUAUUUAGGUUUUCAAUUUAUCCCAAACUGUUUCUGCAUAUUGGUUAUUGAUUUGGACAUGUUAAAACUGUGUUUUGACAUUGGGCUAUCCCACCUAGCAAAUGUAAUUGAAAAGACGUUGAAAAUAAGACUGCAAUCAAAUAUUCGAUGUUUACAUUUCAUGUAACAUUUAGUAAUGGUAAUUAUUUAUGCAACCAACUGAUCAUUUUUUGGUACAAUUAUAUGAACUUUGUUGCCCUUCUUUUAGAAUAUCACGGAUCAUUCUCAGAUGUGCCAACCCAAAUGUACUAGAGCAUGACAUUGGGGACUGGGCCUCGAUCCAACAACAUGCUUAUCUAGUGAACCCUGAAACGAGAGAGAAGCUCUGCAGUGAGGUGGAAAGUUACUACGGAAAUUGCAGGAGUUUCCAAGGGGAUGAGAGUUCUAGAAGCUAGUGGGUUUUAGGAAGAAGAGAGUUCUAGAAGCUAGUGGGGAAAAAUGAGUUUUAUUUCUUGUUUUUAAUUGUUGACAGCCAGUAGACACCAUGUUUUAUAUUGGUGAAGGUGAAGCAUUGUAGUUGAUUAUAAUGUGAAAUGGAAGUUGUUUUCUGAUGGUGGUGCACAAACUUGUCCAACAAAAAUAUAGGUAAUAUUUUCUAAUAAUUGCGCCAACAGUUGUUGCCUUCUCACCAAGCUGCUUGCCUAUUGUCCUGUUGCCCAUCCCAGCCUUGUGCAGGUCUACAAUUUUAUCCCUGAUGUUCUUACACAGCUCUCUGGUCUUGGCCAUUGUGGAGAGGUUGGAGUCUGUUUGAUUGAGUGUGUGGACAUGUGUCUUUUAUACAGGUAACGAGUUAUAAAAGGUGCAGUUAAUACAGGUAAUGAGUGGAGAACAGGAGGGCUUCUUAAAUAAAAACUAACAGGUCUGUGAGAGCCGGAAUUCUUACUGGUUGGUAGGUGAUUAAAUACUUAUGUUACUUAAAAAUCAUACAA
Oncorhynchus masou masou (cherry salmon) is the source of this 2658-nucleotide long non-coding RNA. RefSeq lists it as uncharacterized. The record is from RefSeq and is a predicted model, not a curated record. The transcript is spliced from 2 exons. Lineage: Eukaryota; Metazoa; Chordata; Actinopteri; Salmoniformes; Salmonidae.